GUGGGUAACCUGCCUUAUAGUGGGGGAUAGCCUUUCGAAAGGAAGAUUAAUACCGCAUAAGAUUGUAGUAUCGCAUGAUAUAGCAAUUAAAGGAGCAAUCCGCUAUAAGAUGGACCCGCGUCGCAUUAGCUAGUUGGUGAGGCAAUGGCUCACCAAGGCGACGAUGCGUAGCCGACCUGAGAGGGUGAUCGGCCACAUUGGGACUGAGACACGGCCCAGACUCCUACCGGGAGGCAGCAUG
This 241-nucleotide ribosomal RNA is filed under the name uncultured bacterium. RNAcentral describes it as "partial 16S ribosomal RNA". It matches the Rfam family "Bacterial small subunit ribosomal RNA", at positions 117 to 353 of the family's 1533-position model. The record is from RNAcentral.